Long non-coding RNA from Zingiber officinale, 663 nucleotides. RefSeq lists it as uncharacterized. The transcript has 3 exons. The record is from RefSeq and is a predicted model, not a curated record. NCBI's taxonomy places the organism in Eukaryota, Viridiplantae, Streptophyta, Magnoliopsida, Zingiberales, Zingiberaceae.
UCCAGUCGGUCCACCCGAUGCCAAGGGCUCAACUCCCUCGAUUCAUUACUCCCUGACUUCUCCGUCUCUCGGUCCCCAUCGCACCGACUUCACUGCCCUCCUCUCCCGACUCCGCUUCAUCACCCGACGAUGCUGCUCAACGCAGUGCCACCACUGCAGUCGUAGCCCAGCAUUGCAGCUACCCGAGGGCAAGCCUACCACGAUCUCCUUCUUCCGAUUGCCGCUUGUGCCUUAGCUCCGUCGCAUCUCUCUCGACCGAGCUCUCUUCCUCUUCUCCAGCAUUGGCCCCUUUCCCUCUGCCCUAUCCCUCCACCUUGCUGCAAAUCACCGACGCUCGAUCAUUUGGUACCACUCAGCAUCGUCUGUCCGCCGUCCUUGGCGCAGCACCUGGGCGCUGCACCUCCGACCACGGUAGAUCCAGUCACAGUUAUCGGCAACGGCUUGUCCUAGCUCCGGCAACAAUUUUCUAGCAGCAAGGUUUUCAGCCGUGUGUCAACAGGGAAGUCUCCGACUUGGGGUACUUGGGUGGAGAUUAGUGACUCCACCUUGUUGUAGCCACUAGAUCCGGCAGCAACCUCCUCUAGAAGGGGGUAAGUACAAAUUUUGGACUCUAUUGAGACGGCAUCACAACGUGGGAUUUGUUUCGAUACGAUUUUCGUUUUG